UUCUUUAUGUUUAGAAAGAGGUGAAUAUAAAUUGAAAUAUUUAUAAUUUUUAAUCUCUCACUUUUUACCUCUUUACACCUCAAAUUGGGAUAUAAGAAAAAUUGAGAUUUGAGAGAUAAGAGAGGGAAAAAUUUAUCCGUACUUAUUUCCUAUACUACAUUUACUUACUUUCUUUCCAAACAGGAGUAAAAUAAUUAUUUACCCCUCCUUACUCUUAUUUACUCUUCUCUCACCCUCAUCCAAACAAACUCUUCAGCACUUUCAUCAAUGUAGUUUCUAUAAUAACCAGAACCAAGGAAUUACAAACAGAACAAUAAAAUUAAGAACAGAGAAUUCAGAAAUAAUGAAGGAAAUUUAAACAGAAUCAGCAAAUAUGUUGGAUUUGAGAAAAUAUUCUUUUUCAUGGAAAAAAAAUAUACAUGUACAUGAAGGGUGAACUUGCAAUUAAAUUCACCACUAAAGAGUAGCUUCUUGAUUUAAGCCUAUGAACUCAUUCCAAGAAUGACAGGGUAAUCAACUCUCUCAAGCACUCAAUUCUUAUCCUUUAAACCCUAAUUCUCUUCAUCCUCCUAAUCACCUUUUCCCUACAGCCAUCUCAGCCACAGGAAAUAUGGUUUAUUGUAUUCAAUUGCGCAUUUUAGCAGGUUACCAUAGGCAUGUCUGCAAUUAGAAUUCAUUGGUUAUGCUCUGAGGUAUAAUUCAAUCAACCCCUUCCAUAUUUUGGGUUGUAAUUGAUUUUGAACAUUAACUACAAUCCUCUACCAUAAACGAAUUGCCUGGAAUUUACCCAAAUCAUUGAAAUUUCUAGGCCACACCAAAAUGAUCAAAAGCAAAAGGAAAUCAAUUUCAUUCCACAAGGAAAAAAAAAACUACCGGAAAAAAAAUGUGGGCAUGGGGAUCAAAUCGAGAUCUAAAAACAUGCCAGUGCACCCAAUAACGACAUAUAAGAAUGCAAAGGAAAUGAAAGAAGAAAAAAGGUUGUGAAACCUUUCUUGGCCGGCGGUAUCCCAAAUCUGAGCCUUGACGACCUUAUCAUCAACGCGGAUGCUGCGAGUGGCGAACUCUACGCCAAUGGUGGAUUUGGAUUCAAGGCUGAAUUCAUUUCUGGUAAAACGAGACAAGAGGUUGGAUUUGCCAACGCCAGAGUCUCCAAUCAAGACUACCUUAAACAAGUAAUCGUAAUCAUCGUCCGCUCUGUAUGCUCCCAUUUGGUAAUGGCUCUCUUCCGAUUUUCUUCUUUUGCUUUUUCGUCUCUUAGAAUUAUUAUUAUUAUUAAUAUUAAUUAAUUUAUUUUUUUCUUGAAUUGAAGGCUGAGAAUGGUGGAAUCUUGGAUUUAAGCAAAAUUAACGGAUUCAGGGAGCAAGGUUUCUUGAAAUACCA
This 1380-nucleotide unclassified non-coding RNA is filed under the name Hevea brasiliensis (rubber tree). The record is from RNAcentral. Lineage: Eukaryota; Viridiplantae; Streptophyta; Magnoliopsida; Malpighiales; Euphorbiaceae.